This 343-nucleotide unclassified non-coding RNA is filed under the name soil metagenome. Its description in RNAcentral is "partial contains 5.8S ribosomal RNA, internal transcribed spacer 2, and large subunit ribosomal RNA". The stretch from base 1 to 120 matches the Rfam family "5.8S ribosomal RNA", at positions 35 to 154 of the family's 154-position model. The record is from RNAcentral.
GAUGAAGAACGCAGCGAAAUGCGAUAAGUAAUGUGAAUUGCAGAAUUCAGUGAAUCAUCGAAUCUUUGAACGCACAUUGCGCCCGCUAGUAUUCUGGCGGGCAUGCCUGUCCAAGCGUCAUUUCAACCCUCAAGCCCCCGGGCUUGGUGUUGGGGAUCGGCGAGCCUCCGCGCCCGCCGUCCCCUAAAUCUAGUGGCGGUCUCGCUGUAGCUUCCUCUGCGUAGUAGCACACCUCGCACUGGGAAACAGCGCGGCCACGCCGUUAAACCCCCAACUUCUGAACGUUUGACCUCGGAUCAGGUAGGAAUACCCGCUGAACUUAAGCAUAUCAAUAAGCGGAGGA